GGGCGGGGAAGGAGGGACACGCAGGCGGCAAGUCAGGGGGAGCCGUAUAGGGGGAGGGGGGCGGCGCUGGGGUGGUGGGCGGAGGAGACCCCAAAGGUGGGGUGGUGGGUGGCGGAGACCCCAAUGGUGGGGGACGUUGGGUGGUGGAGACGCCAGCGUUGGGGUUGGAGACCCCAAUGUUGGGUUCAUUGGGUGGUGGAGACCCCAAAUUUGAGGUUGGAGACCCCAAAGUUGGGAUUUGUUGAGUGGAGACCCCAAAGUUGGGGUUUGUUGAGUGGAGACCCCAAAGUUGGGUUACGCUGAGGGACUGGGGGGGUCUUUGGGGUCUGUUGGGUGAAGCCCCCCAUUUAGGGGUGAGCAGAUGCCCCUCUUCGUGUUGGGGUCCAUCGGGUCCCAGGUUGGGGGGCUCCCUUCGUUAGCGGGGCCGUUCGUUAGCGGGGGG
This 442-nucleotide long non-coding RNA is filed under the name Chrysolophus pictus (golden pheasant). Its description in RNAcentral is "lncRNA (ENSCPIG00010007750.1)". Lineage: Eukaryota; Metazoa; Chordata; Aves; Galliformes; Phasianidae. The record is from RNAcentral.